This 206-nucleotide long non-coding RNA is filed under the name Medicago truncatula (barrel medic). RNAcentral describes it as "long non-coding RNA (MTRU_LNC004104)". Lineage: Eukaryota; Viridiplantae; Streptophyta; Magnoliopsida; Fabales; Fabaceae. The record is from RNAcentral.
UGUUAUCUCGAUUUUGGGGUAUCAAGUCAUUAAUUAGGCUUGAACCUUUCAAUCUUUGAUAUUCUCUAUUUUUUCUUGGGAAGGGUAAAAUUGAGAAAACCUUAGAAACUCUAAGUUCGGGGGUCGUUUUCGUUACGGGAAGGUGUUAAGCACCCGUAACGACUAUAGUAUUCUAUAGGAACCGCUUUCCUAGCUUUAUGUCUACG